GAGUUUGAUCGUGGCUCAGGAUGAACGCUGGCGGCGUGCCUAAUACAUGCAAGUCGGGCGAACGGACGAGAAGCUUGCUUCUCUGAUGUUAGCGGCGGACGGGUGAGUAACACGUGGAUAACCUACCUAUAAGACUGGGAUAACUUCGGGAAACCGGAGCUAAUACCGGAUAAUAUUUUGUAACCGCAUGGUUCAAAAGUAGAAAGACGGUCUUGCUGUCACUUAUAGAUGGAUCCGCGCUGCAUUAG
RNAcentral lists this ribosomal RNA (248 nucleotides) under uncultured microorganism. RNAcentral's name for it is "partial 16S ribosomal RNA". It matches the Rfam family "Bacterial small subunit ribosomal RNA", at positions 9 to 244 of the family's 1533-position model. The record is from RNAcentral.